This 555-nucleotide long non-coding RNA is filed under the name Zostera marina. Its description in RNAcentral is "long non-coding RNA (ZMAR_LNC002943)". The record is from RNAcentral. Lineage: Eukaryota; Viridiplantae; Streptophyta; Magnoliopsida; Alismatales; Zosteraceae.
UACUUUCUUGUCUUCUUGGAGAGGUUAGUUGAAAUACCUAUUUUUAACUCCAAACAGUUGUGAUCAUUCUUAGCCAAACUGAAGCCCACCCAACGUCGACACUGAUGUUGACCAACCCGUCAGAAGAAGCAUUACCGAGUACAUGCUUGCUAGAGAGAAGAUGAGAUGAAAUAACACUGGUUUAUUCUCAUCCUUGUUAUUGUCUUGUUCCUCCAAUUUAUCAAAUGGAAGCAAUGGUUUCUCACUACCUUCUACCAAUUUUACCAGAACGAGGCGAAGACGGUGGAGAAAGUAGAGCAGUUGAAGAACAAGCACGAACGAGAGGAUGGUGGUAAAAAGGCCCAAAGUCAUGCUUCCAUUGUAGUAGAGAGAAAUCACUGAAUUGAACAGGUAUUAAAUGUUUGUAGUUUCAGAGUUUCCAUUUUUUGGGGGCUUCCAUUAAACUCAUUGUUAGAGCCUACUCUGCAUCGCUGCCCCAAAUCUGAUAACCAUGCAAUUUCCAUUUUCCUCUCUUAUUUUGUAAAUACCAAAUAAACAAGCCCUCUUGUUACAUGA